AUUGAACGCUGGCUGCAGGCCUAACACAUGCAAGUCGAGCGGAGCCGCGGACGGGCGAGUAAUGCCUAGGAACCUGCCCGGCAGUGGGUUAUAACGUCCGGAAACGUGCGCUAAUACCGCAUACUAUCAUAUGAGCCUAGGUCGGAUUAGCUAGUUUGUGGGGUAAAGGCCUACCAAGGCGACGCUCCGUAACUGUGCUGAGAGGAUGUUCAGUCACACUGGAAAGGAGACACGGUCCAGACUACUACGGGAGGCAGCGGUGGGGAAUGUUAGACGAUGGGAGGAAGCCUGAUCCAGCCAUGCCGCGUGUGUGGAGAAGGUAUUCGGAUUGUAAAGGACAAUAAGUUGGAAGGCGUUACCAAAAGAAUAAGCACCGGCUAACUUCGUGCCAGCAGCCGCGGUAAUAC
Molecule: ribosomal RNA, 407 nt
Filed under: uncultured bacterium
Lineage: Bacteria
Description: partial 16S ribosomal RNA
Rfam family: Bacterial small subunit ribosomal RNA
Source: RNAcentral